RNAcentral lists this ribosomal RNA (509 nucleotides) under uncultured bacterium. Its description in RNAcentral is "bacterial SSU rRNA". It matches the Rfam family "Bacterial small subunit ribosomal RNA", at positions 28 to 527 of the family's 1533-position model. The record is from RNAcentral.
GACGAACGCUGGCGGCGUGGAUUAGGCAUGCAAGUCGAACGGUAUCAUCCUUUCGGGGGUGAGAGAGUGGCGAACUGGUGAGUAACACGUAGGUUAUCUACCCUCAAGACGGGGACAACCCAGGGAAACUUGGGCUAAUACCGGAUGUGAGCAACUUUUAGUUGUUUGAAAGGUGGCGUAAGCUGUCGCUUGGGGAUGAGCCUGCGUCCUAUUAGUUAGUUGGUGAGGUAACGGCUCACCUAGGCAAUGAUAGGUAGGCGGCCUUAACGGGUGGUCGCCCACACUGGGAUUGAGAUACGGCCCAGACUCCUACGGGAGGCAGCAGUCGAGAAUAGUCUACAAUGGUCGGAAGACUGAUAGUGCGACGCCGCGUGAACGAUGAAUCCCUUCGGGGUGUAAAGUUCUUUUAUAUGUGAGCAGUGCUUCUUAUAUUAACAGUAUGGGGAGAGAGAUAUUAGCAUAUGAAUAAGCAACGGCUAAACUCCGUGCCAGCAGCCGCGGUAAAAACG